GCGUCCACGCCCUCGCCGAGCAGCAGCAGAGCCGCGGCCACGGCCUCGCCCUCGGUGCCCUGCGACGCCGAGCACCGCCGCGCCGAGCUCCGUCCGGCGUCCACGGCCCCGACCUCGCCAGGAGCCGCUGACCCCCUCUUCGUCGAGCACCUGACCGCUGUGGCCGCGACACGCCUCGUCCUCGACCCCGCCGCGCCGAGCUUCGACUGCGACCUUGCCCAGGAGCCCGCGGCGUCCCCAUCCUCGCCCGCGAGCUCUCCCCCGAGCCCCGUCUUCGGCCAGCACCGCGAGCACGGCGCCCCUCCGCGUCCGCGUCCUCGACCUCGCCACGACCUCGACGCCGAGCAGGAGCUCCGCACCCCCGCCGGAGCACGACGCCACGACCACGACCGUGCCGCGCCAAGCACUGCGACCCCGACCCCGACGCAGUUCUGCGCCACCCCGCGACGUCACCCACACCCUCACCACCAGCACCGGCCUCGCCCCCAAGCCUAGGGCCGCGCGCGACGCCGGCUCCGGUCACGGCCGACCUGAAGCCCGCGGCGUCCACGUCCGCGCUCAGGAGCCGCGACCACCGAGCGCGACGUCGGGCCCGACGCGUCCCCGUCCUCGCCACGGUCACCGCGUCAAGCUCUCGUCCCUGUCUUCGCCAAGCCAAACCCCCGGUGAGCUCGCCAAGACCAAAGUUUUCCCCUUCCUGCGUUCACCAAGCUGAGACCGGCCUUCGCGCCACAUUUCAUCCAUUGUCGCAGGGAAGCUUUGGUCCUGUGGUGCUUUUGCCAAAGAUGUGAUGCCUUCUCGCUGCCAGCCGCGCCUCCAGCCGAGCCGCAGCGAGCAGAAGCCAGCCAAGAGCAACAGCAAGCCCGUAGUAGAUCUUCGUCCAAACAGCAAGGUCGAACCUUGAACCUAGCCGACAUCGUCUCCGACGUUGGCAAAACCCUUGCCGUUCAUUUCGAUAUCAUACAUGCCAUGUAUCUUGCUCAUGUAUGCAUUAUGAUCUAUCUGCAUGACCAUUUGUUCAUCUAUCCAUGUCAUGCAUUUGUUACAUGAUUAUUCAUCUCAUAUCUCGUUUAAUGCGGGACCUAUCUUCGUCUAUAUCUCUGCCUGUGCCGUGCCUUCGUGCCGGUCUAUUUAUCUAUCUCUAUCUCUUUUGGUCGCUAUGGAAAUGUGCUACUCCGAGUCGUCGUCUUGUUAGUAUUGCAAUUUGUGCUUUUGUUCUUGUCGUUGUGGACCGUGCCGUCGAGCCGGUUGAGAGAGUGACGUGUUUGGAUGUUGCGAUCGCGAGUUCGUCUCGCCACGGCCGUAAUGCCGAGCAUGUCCCUUCUCUCGUAUUUCUGUUGUUCCUUCUUUUGUUAUUUGCAUGCCUGAGGACCGAGCCUUCGAGCCGGUUAGGGAAAAUGGUGGAGCGUUCGAUCAUUUCGAUCGUGGGUUCGUCCCGCCGUGAUCGCGAUGCCGAGCGUAACUCAUUCCCUGUGAUUAGUUGACUUCGCUGCGCUACGGUCGUUAGCUCCUAUUCCCGUCCCUCGAACGUGGUCAUCGUGGACUCGAUGUCGUUAACGACGCGGUUCUUACCCGCACACUCGAGACCUAAAUGACCUAGUCUAGUGGGAUACGAAUUAGGGGACAACCUUCGUAGAACUAUCGGAGAAACUCGUUAGGUGAAGCUCAUGGCCGCGAGUCCACCUUGCCAUGGCCAUUGGGCUUUACCCCAUUUCUCCCGUGUUUAUCCUAACCACCUCGUAUGCUUGUACCACUUCGACUAUAGCAUUCCCUCGGACCUAGCGGUGACAACCACAUCGCUAUGGGCCUUAGGAAUAGCCUUGUGCUGAUUUAGAUGCACAGUCAUGGUGCCCUACGAGUGGGUUGGGAUCGUGGGGUCGUAUUCCUUUUAUCCAACCGUCGUUGUUCCAUGAUGAGUUGGUCGAAAGAGUAUGGACUCCAUUCUUCUUCUCUCUUGUUCUCAAUCCCGUCGAUCCAGUAAGAUGGGGAUUAAGCCCCUUUUGCUUGUUUGAUGUUUUGUUUCCAAUCCCGCGAUUCCCGCCGUUGCUAUGGCGAGCGGAUCAAAGGAAGGUGAAUCCCGUGUCUUUUCCCGCCUUUUUGGUUCUUCGUGCUUAAACUCUUGUAUGCUUGUACCUAUAUCGAUCGUAGCAUUUCUUUGGUUCUUGUGGUGACAACCGCACCGCAAAGAACCUUAGUGAUGUCAUAGUGCAUUUAGUGCACCUAGGUUGUGGUACCCUACAAGUGGUUUGAGUACUCGUGUUCCUUAUGUGUCACUCUUUCUAAUCCCCCGUCUCUUACCAUGGCGAGUGGAUGGGAAGAAGUAGACCACUCCCCUUUUCUUCUCUCCUUGUUCCACCCUCUCUUGGCUCUCGCCAACUACAAUGGCGUAUGGAUUGAGAGAGACCGGAACUUCGCGUGCUCAUAGUCUUUUCGAUUCCUGUCGAUCUCCGUGACGCUUGGAUCGAAGAGCCACUAGCUAUGGUGUUUGCUUAUGAUAAGUUAGGGUCUAAGCCAAUUAUUAAAGUCGUACAGGUUGACUUAGUCGACCCAGGAAGUACCGGCUAGGCUAAGACUCCAGCUUGUACUUAGUGAACAACCAUUCCCAUUUCUUUUAGCCCAAAGAUCGGACAUCCGCCGAGAGGGCUAAGCCGUUUUCCUUUCGUUGCUCUUUUAGUGUAGUUGUUCCUCAGUGUUAUGUCGUCUCUUUUUGUAGUCUUUCGAGGUCUAGUGGUUUGAUUGUUUUGCCUUGUUUGUCGCUUUCGAGGUAGUCGCUUCGAGGUUAGCGUUGAUCGGACCAGGACCAGUUGAAGGAAGAACAUGCGGAAAGGAGGAUCUUGGAUGAGUACAACUACAAGUGAACUGAGGAUCUUGGAAAUGUCACUCGACAGGUGCCACGUCCCACCCAACCUCGUAGAAUCCUAUUAGACAUGCAAUAUUACAGAUGCUAGUGCUUUACUUUUAUGCAAAUGAACUGUGAUAGGUUGCAUGGUAGAAAUGCUUGUGAGCCAUUGCCUUGUUGCAACCUAUAACCCUCGCACACCCGCUGUUAGGUUAGAUGCUUGCAUACUACUUGCUACUGCUUCUACUUCGCAUUAUAUCUGUGAUGUGAUGCAAUGUGGGAGAUUGGAUGUGAGUGGAUAAGGCACGUGGUGCCAAUAAAUGGAUAAAGAAAUGGAUAAUGGAUUUGGGGAGAUCUUGGCGUGUGUCUUGGGUGUGUGGUGAGGGUCGAGUCGACCGAACAGGAUCUACGACGAGUCUUGGGACAAGUCUUGCCGGAGGACGCUACCUGGGCGUUCUCCAUGAGAGUUACCUGUGGCGGGUACAUGUGACAGGGAGAGGUCCCGGAGUGGAGUGUCUUCGUGGGACGAAGCGCCGGGAUGGGAGGUGCUGUUUAGCACGGGGUAGCCGGAUGUCCUGUCGAGCGGGGCAUCGGUUGGCCCCUCGUGAAGAUGUCCUGUUUGGUCACCCUAAGGACUGAGAUGUUCUGUGGACCGGGUCUUAGGAAGCCUUACACGCCACUCGCCUUAUUAUGGUGCGGGACGGAUGUACGACCAGCUAGUGCGGUGCCACUACUACUAGGUUGUUAGCGGAUAGUGUAGGGAGGUACGGGCAUGAGGACCCACACCCUCCUAAGACAGCGUAGUGACCUUUGGGGCCCGGUACUACGCCUCACAGUCUCAGCAUGCCGGUGGUACUCCGGUAUGGUCCCAGUUCUGAGUGGUAGGGUGGCAUCGUAUUUAGUUGGGAGGCAGCUCGGAAUCAGCCUAGACGGGGGCCACCGUCGAUGAUGGUGAUCUUGUGGUUAGUGUAAACCUCUACAGAGUUUGGUUGAUCGAUCGAUACAUAUGCCGAUUCGUCGGCUAUGGACCUUUCCUAAGUACAGCUUCACUUGACUAGAGAGAGAGGAGUCCUUUCUACCUUCCCCUGGGUUUGUGUUGGAUCCGGCGUUGGCCGUUGAGGCAAGGCACGAGCGGGAGUCGUACUUGCCGCCUAGAGAGUGAGAGUGUGGUGAGAUGUGUGUGAUGGAUGGAUGGAUGUGUGGUUGAGAUGGAUUAAAACCUGAUGAAUUAUUAUUAUUAAAUAUUGAUGAACUUGCAUAGGGAAAACUACAGCCAUAUAUAUAUAGGCCUCUUGAUCUACCCUUUGCAUUCCACUUACCACAAAGCUACGCAAAAGCAUAGGGUGGGAGCCAGUGGCCAGUACAAAUCGUACUGAAAAUUGUUCGGCAGGUUUUGAACGUGGUCUAUGGCGAUAACUAUGGAGAAUAGAAGGAUUAGGUGGUCUCGUUCCUGCGCUCAAGUUUGGUUCGGAGAUGAAGGCUACGCCCGCUGAUAAACUACGCCGACUCUGAUGAUUGCCCGUGAAGGAGGAGACUUCACCGAUGACGCGCUAUAUCGACUCUGAUAAAGACCCGUGUGUGUUUUCGCUAGAAAAACGAUGUAAUAGGCUUGUCGACCAAGUGUUGUAAAGCAAAUGUGUUGUAAUCUUGUUUCUCACGAUGUAUGACUACGAUAACAGCUGAUAUAUGAUAAUGCGAUGGUUCAAAUUUUUGAAUUAUCACAUUAUAAUUCGAAUCUGUGGAUUUUUCGCUUUGUGGAAAAAUCUAGGUCGUUUCAGUUGGUAUCAGAGCCAUACUUGACCCUAGGACGAGACCCUUAGUACCAAACACUAGUUUAGAAGCCAAACAUUCUAUCUUUUGUAGAGUUAUAGAUGCUAACACUUGUUUUCCCCCUCCGCCUUGAAUUCUGCUGCUAACUGACCUCCCUGUUUCAUAAAGUUGACCGUUGUAAUCUUUUCCUAUACCCGCCCACGCUAGAUCGAUAGUCGUGUGAGACUUUGAAGGUCUGUGAGUCGCCUCAAGUCAACACUAUGCAUUAGGAGUUGUAAUGCUGUUUGAGUGCUUGGAUCUUAUGUUGUUGUGUUUCUUCGGCUUCUUGUUGUCUAAGUGUAGGUCAUAGAACCUGUUUUAUGCGAGAAAGACUCUGGAUCCCGUCCAACCUAGUCGGCUAAACCUAAGACCGUCCGAGACUAGAUAGGUGAUCCUGGCUAACAGAGCUGAAAAAGGGUAUAAAGCUGCUGCAUUAUGUCUUGCCCAUCUAUUUCAAAGCUGUUUUUGGCUUCCAACUAAACUUGUCUUCAAAAUUGCCCCUUAGGUUGAAAAAAAAAUUUCUCUCCUUUUUGGUUAAAAUAUUUCCCCUUUUUAACAAAAGCAUCUCUACUUCAAAUGGAAAAGUGUUUCAAAACUCUCUCGAUAUCUUCCCUUUUUACAAAUAAAGCAAUUUUAACUCCUUUCUCAACUUAAUUUUAUUCAAAAGCUAUUUAUGAAAUGAUUUAAAAAAAAGUCACCUUGAAAAAGGUAUGACAAACCAUCUUCUGAAAAACAAAAGUCUUGCUUUUUCAUGUUUCCAAACCAAAGACUUUGGCUUACUUUUGUUUUAAAGGUCUUUGAUUUUAUCUCAAGAGCCAAAUUCCUUUUUAAAAAAAAAAUCAAACUUGUCUUAAAAGAAAAAGGAAUUGCUAGUGAUUUAUUAAACAAAAACCAUUGCGAAAAGAUUUUUGUUUGCGGCCUUCCAAGAGUUUAGCAAAAACAAAAUGAACUUACAAGUUUUAAAAGAAAACGCUCUUGUUGUCAAGACUUUAUCUUUCAAAAUGAGAAAUGAUUUCUAGUCAUUUUCAAAACUAGUUUGUUUAAUUCAAAUAAAUAAAUUAAAAAAAGGGGCAACGCCUUGUAUUUGAAAGCUAAAAGAGUUUCAAAAUCUCUUGAUUUGAAAUCUUUUAUAACAAAAUCUUCAAACGAUUUGGUUUUCAAAACUUGCAUUGAUUUCAACCCCCUUCAAAAGCUCUCUUCAAUUUCAAGCCUCAAAAAAAACUGACUUUGUAAAAGCGCUCUCACUCUAUUUUUGAAACCUGUUUUUCCGAAAAACAUUCCUUUCAAAAGCUUUUUGCAAAAAGUGAUGCAUGAAAAACAGCUGUGAAAGCCAACAACCCUAGCAACCCUAAGCUCGCCAUACCCCUCCUUUGACCGGAUGCUAGUUCUUGGAAGAGUAUCAUGCCAGUAAACAAAGAGUUUUGAGCCAGAAGAGCUAGACAACUAACAAUAGUCUCAUCUUCAAGAGCCAGAUGUACAUAAACCAGAUGAGGUUCUUGGAUACCCAUCGCCUCGGUGUAAGAAUUUGGAUACCCAACACCCACGACUGAGCCUUGGAUACACCCAGAACAUGACUCACUCCCAUUUUGGAAAAGGUUUGUGGAGCGGUCAUACUGAAAGUGAAACAACUCAGAAGUAAGAAGAACUUCGGGAAUAGCACCCUUGCUUCUUCAUCGACCGGGCAACGCCUAAAAUCUCGGGGACGAGAUUCCUGUAAGGAGGGUGGACUGUAACAUCCCGGAUUUUUACGUAAACCAAAAAUACGAGCUUUUUAAAAUUUUUCCUGUAAUCGUGUGAAGCAUAUAGUUUUUAGAUCUAAAUCGAUCCUAACCCGCUAACAAAUCGUGGCAUACAUAUAGAUUUGUUUCUAGGUGAGUGCUUUUGUUCGUGAGUCGGUUUGGAGUUUAGUCUUGUUUAGGGUUUUGAGUUUCUUUUGGAGUGCACAAAUCCAUAGCAAAGUCUUCCUAAAUCUUUGUGGAGCCUACCUCAAAGGCGAAGCGAAUCCCUUCUCAACUUUUUGUUGGAGUACGUCUCAAACUCCAUCGGAUUUUAUCCGAUCUCCUUUUGUUUUCAUUCCUUGUGUUUAAUCAAAAAUGGAAAACCCCUUUCUUUUCCCUUGGGCCGAAUUUCUUUUCUUCUCCCAUUUGGCCCAACUCGCGCAGGAGCCUUGCCAAGCCCAGCAGCCGGCCCACCCGAAACCCCCGCGCCCCCCCUCCUGAACCACCUAGCUCAGCCUGGGCUCCCUUUCCUCCCCUCUCGCGUGGCCCACCUUGCCCUAGGCCCAUCCCGCGCACUAAGGCCUAGUCGGCUUCUCCUCCCCUCCCGCGUGGCCCACCUCGCCCCGGCCCAAGGCCCAGCCGCGAGCCUCCUCCUCCCCUGCGCCCAACCCUAGAGUGGGGAGCGCCUGCUCCCCAGGACAGCCGCCGCCGCCGCCUGAUGCUGCGCCCGCGCCUGCCCUCUCUCCUCGGCGUUCGUGCCGAUGCGCGCCGCGUGUCCUGCUCGCGGCACGGACGUCGGAGAUGGCCGCUUCCGCCCCGAAGCCCUAGCGCCCGCGCUAUAAGAACCGAGCCGCCAGCCGCCGCCCUUCUCCCCCGCGCAGCCGCCGCUCUGCUUGCGCGCGCCCCUGCACCCUCAGCGCCGCGACGCGCACACGCCCGAGCCCCGUGCGCGCCUGCCCUCUCUCCUCGGCGCGCGCCCGCAUCCACGGGCCUCGCCCUGAUGCUGCCCGCCGAGCCGCCGCCGCGACGCACCCGCGCGCCCGAGCACCCCGACGCGUCCACGCCCUCGCCGAGCAGCAGCAGAGCCGCGGCCACGGCCUCGCCCUCGGUGCCCUGCGACGCCGAGCACCGCCGCGCCGAGCUCCGUCCGGCGUCCAUGGCCCCGACCUCGCCAGGAGCCGCUGACCCCCUCUUCGUCGAGCACCUGACCGCCGUGGCCGCGACACGCCUCGUCCUCGACCCCGCCGCGCCGAGCUUCGACUGCGACCUUGCCCAGGAGCCCGCGGCGUCCCCAUCCUCGCCCGCGAGCUCUCCCUCGAGCCCCGUCUUCGGCCAGCACCGCGAGCACGGCGCCCCUCCGCGUCCGCGUCCUCGAC
Molecule: long non-coding RNA, 7742 nt
Filed under: Sorghum bicolor (sorghum)
Lineage: Eukaryota; Viridiplantae; Streptophyta; Magnoliopsida; Poales; Poaceae
Description: long non-coding RNA (SBIC_LNC011205)
Source: RNAcentral